ACGUGUUGUUGUCAUGUCAGUUGCUUUGACGUGUAUGAACAGCUGUCAACUAUAGAUCUUGUUUUCCAUUUCCCGAUAAUGAGAAGGAAAAAGUAACCAGUGUUGUGUGAAAAUCUUACUAAAACAUACAUUUGUUUAUAUGUUAACGUGAGAGACAAUUAUAAUAUACCAAAAUGGUUCUGAUGACUAUGAUCGCGAGGGUCGUAGACGGCCUCCCCCUGGCCGCUACUAUGCAAGAGGAUGAGCAGAGCGGCUGCAAUGUUCUGGAGUACCAAAAUCAGGCUAAAAUGCUGUUUAGAAAACUAGGCCCACAGUCGCCGACGCGUUGCUCCAUCGAAACUGGGCCCUAUCUCUUCCAUUAUCUAAUUGAGCAUGAGAUCUGCUACCUAGUGCUGUGUGAGCGCAACUACAGCAAGAGACUGGCAUUCAGCUACCUCGAGGAGAUUGCACAGGAGUUCUACCAGCAAUACGGCAAGCGGGUGAACACAGUAACCCGGCCAUACACGUUCAUAGAGUUCGACACGUGGAUGCAGCGCGCGCGGCGGCAGUACGCGGAGGGCGGCGCCCGCGCACGCCGCGCCGGCGCCGCCGCGCAGCUCGGCGGCCAGCUGGGCGACGUGCAGCGCAUCAUGAUGCAGAACAUCGACGAUGUGCUGCAGAGGGGAGCUAUACUCUCCGAACUGGAUACAAAAACCCAGAACCUAUCAAUGAUGUCUUCGAAGUACAAGAAGGAUGCAACCUAUCUAAACACCAAGUCUAUGCUGGUGAAGGUAACAGCGGGCGCUGUCAUACUGCUGGUGUUUGUACUCUACUUCUGGGUCCUUUAGGCCCGCUCAUACUUUAGGAUCCUUCAUCUGUGGUAUAGCAUAUACUAGAGCUGGGGACUCUGCGGUAACAUUCAAUGCUAUGAGGUCAUUGAAACUUCCACUGAUAUGAUUCUUCUAUAAUAAGUUUAUUCACACUAAUGAAUGAAAGUUAAUUUAUUUAACAGAGUUUUACAAAAAUGUUCUAAAUGAAGUUUUACAUGCAAUGAAAGAAUCAAGUUCUCACCACAACCUCCAAUCAAGUUCCAUAUGAUAAAAGCAUUGUAUGAUGCUGCAGAGUGACAGUUACCCCAGCAGUGUGACAGCUAAGCUGUUAUAGUUGAAUUGCCUUUUGAAACUAUAAUAGUACAGUUAUGGGAUAUUUAUGUAAAAGCAAGAUUUCAUAUUUUCUAUGUGAUUCCUCUGGACAGUUUUGUAUUUAGACAUAGCAAUGAAGUAUAAUAGGAGUAAGGAGCUAUAUAGCCGAUUUAUAAUUUGUUUAUUUACCCUGCAUCAAUAUUUAGUUCUCAUUUAUUGAAUCAACUACUGAGUAUGAUGAAUCUGAGUAUAUAACUGGCUUCCUAAAACAUUGAAAAUUUAAUUAUUUAGCAUGAAAAGCAUUCCAAGCAGUUAUUUUUUUUAUAAAUCUUACCAAAAAUUAUGAUAUUUGAUAAAAAAUCUGAUUCAUAGUGCAUAGCAAUGUGUUUGGUAUGACAAUAUGGGAUAUUCAGCUUAAAAGUGUAAGUUAACUCCAGCAGAAGCAAAAUUAUAUGAUUAUAUGCCCAUCAUUAUUAUUUUAUGUAAAAAGCGCAGCGAGUGCUUGGUGAUGGAAUGUUGUAAAUUUUAUCACAUAUUGUUAAUUAAUGUAUUUAUUUAAGAUUUAAUAAAUAUGCAUUCUUUUAA
Molecule: unclassified non-coding RNA, 1706 nt
Filed under: Helicoverpa zea (corn earworm)
Lineage: Eukaryota; Metazoa; Arthropoda; Insecta; Lepidoptera; Noctuidae
Description: vesicle-trafficking protein SEC22b, transcript variant X1
Source: RNAcentral